UAGCUAUUAACACAAAGAUGAGAAAGAUCCAAGUGUAUUUUCUUAAAUUGUUAUUGCGCCCAUCAAAAUUGUGUCGAUACGAUGCAAAGUUGCUCUAACGACGAAGAAGAAAAUUUUUCGAGGGAAAGGAAUGGAGUGCGCGAUAGCGUUAAGUUAGCAAGCGUCAAAGCAGCCAGUUUAUUUCGAGCGUUUUCGAUUUUGAGAAGGCAGACUCGCGUGCCACUGGCAAAGCCAAUUACACAAUGGCUCGUAAAGGAGGUUCGUGCGAAUUUCGGUUGAGAUAGAGGCGCGCGCAAACAGUGCGCGUUCUGGCUCGUUUCGUUUCCGCGCAUUCUCCGUACCUCGAAAUGAAGCACGGAAAACGGUUAAAAGUUAACAGGACCGGGCAAGUUGACGGUGAUCCAAAAUAUUUUUCUUUCAACGGGCCGUGUCAGGGUGCGUCCGUUCAUAACGCUGACAAAAUUAGAUCUCCGCUCCGUCAAGUUAUUUUAAUGAGAAUUCUACUUCUCGCUGUGUCAAGAUCGCGCGAUUCAACGACCAACACAUUGCGUACAGCAUGAAAUGCAUAAAGGGAUAGUAUUUCUACGCUUGGGAUACGAUCGUGUUUGACGAGCCAACUGGUAAAGCCACCGGAUCGAUUCUUAUCGGUUGCGUGUCUUUCUCUAGAGGUCGUAACUUGUACGAGUUAUCUAAUAUCAGGCGCACACACUGCAUCCCAAACAAAACAAGCUAUAUUUCGGAAGAAGCGAUUAAACUCGUGCGUUUCGUAUCGCAGAAAGAAGGCCGGAUUCCAUUAAAAUCUUCAACAGUUCUCGAGCAAUUAUCGUACAACGUAAUGAUAAAACGUUUUCUUCCUAUCCAAUUAUUCUGCUAUGAAACACAAACUGUUCGAAGCAAUAAAUUAACAAUGCUAGAGGGGCAUUCCUCCUAUCAUA
Molecule: long non-coding RNA, 935 nt
Organism: Apis mellifera (honey bee)
Lineage: Eukaryota; Metazoa; Arthropoda; Insecta; Hymenoptera; Apidae
Exons: 2
Source: RefSeq, a predicted model, not a curated record